This 292-nucleotide ribosomal RNA is filed under the name uncultured bacterium. Its description in RNAcentral is "partial 16S ribosomal RNA". The record is from RNAcentral.
GGACUACCGGGGUUUCUAAUCCUGUUCGCUCCCCACGCUUUCGCUCCUCAGCGUCAGUAUCGGCCCAGAGACCCGCCUUCGCCACCGGUGUUCCUCCUGAUAUCUGCGCAUUUCACCGCUACACCAGGAAUUCCAGUCUCCCCUACCGAACUCUAGCCUGCCCGUAUCGAUUGCAGGUCCGAGGUUGAGCCUCGGAUUUUCACAACCGACGUGACAAACCGCCUACGAGCUCUUUACGCCCAAUAAUUCCGGACAACGCUUGCACCCUACGUAUUACCGCGGCUGCUGGCAC